Molecule: ribosomal RNA, 253 nt
Filed under: uncultured bacterium
Lineage: Bacteria
Description: partial 16S ribosomal RNA
Rfam family: Bacterial small subunit ribosomal RNA
Source: RNAcentral
UACGGAGGGUGCGAGCGUUGUCCGGAAUCAUUGGGCGUAAAGGGCGCGCAGGUGGCUCUGUAUGUCUGCCGUGAAAGCAUACAGCUCAACUGUAUUGUGUCGGUAGAAACUGCAGGACUUGAGGCUGGGAGGGGCUGGUGGAAUUCCCUGUGUAGCGGUGAAAUGCGUAGAGAUGGGGGAGAACACUCGUGGCGAAGGCGGCCAGCUAGACCAGUUCUGACACUGAGGCGCGACAGCGUGGGGAGCAAACAGG